AUGAAUAGUUGCUCUAACUCCUUUGGAGGGACAAAGAAAAUAAGAUUGUUGGAAGAUAGAAAGAAAAAGAGGAAACAGUAUGGAGGUACAGCACAUGGCAAUCAAAUCUUCUUGGAUGGCAGCCAUGAUGAACAUAUGCCUCCCCCAAAUCCAAUGGUUGGAUUUAGCCUGCCCAAUUAUAGACAACUACCAGUGGACAGAAAAAUUCCUAAAAAAGCUAUCGGGCGACCUUUUUUCUACUAUGAAAAUGUGGCCCAAGCUCCCAGAGGUGUAUGGGCGACCAUUUCAAGAUGUCUGUAUGGCAUUCAACCUGAGUAUGUGGACUCGAAGCAUUUGUGUGCAGCUGCAAGGAAAAGAGGCUACAUCCACAAUUUGCCGAUUGAGAACAGAGCACCUCUUCUUCCUCUGCCUCCAAUGACGAUACUUGAGGCAUUCCCUCGGUACAAGAAGUGGUGGCCUUCCUGGGACACGAGAACGCAGUUCAACUGCUUGCGAACAAGUGUGGCAUGUCAACAGCUGACAGGAAGCAUUGGUGCUCUUGCAAGAACAGGGAAUCCACCGCCUCGAAAUAUUCAAAAAGAUAUGAUCAAACAGUGCAAAGAGUACAAUCUUGUCUGGAUAGGAAAGAACAAGGUUGCUGCAUUGGAACCUGAAGAGAUUGAAUAUCUACUAGGUUUCCCGAAGGACCACACAAGGGGACUUGCCAGCACAAAUAGGUACAAAUCUCUCGGCAACUCUUUCCAUGUUGAUACUGUUGCUUACCACUUGUCAGUGCUAAAAGGCAUGUUUCCCAAUGGUGUUAAUGUGCUGUCCUUAUUCACUGGUAUUGGAGGAGGAGAGGUAGCUUUGCACAGGUUGGGAAUCAACAUGAGGACAGUGGUUUCUGUUGAAAUAGACAAAGCUAGUAAGAGGAUUUUCAGGGAUUGGUGGGAUCAGACUCAAACAGGCACGCUGAUUGAGAUUGAUGACGUGAAAUCUCUUACUGAUGAUCAAGUUGCAACAUACGUUACUACAUUUGGCGGCUUCGACUUGGUGAUUGGGGGCAGCCCAUGUAACAAUCUUGCUGGGUGCAACCGAUCCAGCCGUCAUGGCUUGGAGGGCAAGCAAUCUGUUUUGUUCCACCAUUAUGUCAGAAUCUUGAAUGCCGUCAAGUCAGCUAUGGCCAGGAAGUAG
RNAcentral lists this ribosomal RNA (1173 nucleotides) under Triticum aestivum (bread wheat). RNAcentral's name for it is "partial small subunit ribosomal RNA". Lineage: Eukaryota; Viridiplantae; Streptophyta; Magnoliopsida; Poales; Poaceae. The record is from RNAcentral.